GAUAAACGCUGGCGGCGCACAUAAGACAUGCAAGUCGAACGGACUUAACCAUUAGUUUGCUAGUGGAGCGGUUAGUGGCGGACUGGUGAGUAACACGUAAGCAACCUGCCUAUCAGAGGGGAACAACAGUUAGAAAUGACUGCUAAUACCGCAUAUGCCUGAGUACCACAUGGUACAAUAGGGAAAGGAGCAAUCCGCUGAUAGAUGGGCUUGCGUCUGAUUAGCUAGUUGGUGGGGUAAAGGCCUACCAAGGCGACGAUCAGUAGCCGGACUGAGAGGUUGAACGGCCACAUUGGGACUGAGAUACGGCCCAG
RNAcentral lists this ribosomal RNA (314 nucleotides) under uncultured bacterium. RNAcentral's name for it is "bacterial SSU rRNA". It matches the Rfam family "Bacterial small subunit ribosomal RNA", at positions 28 to 334 of the family's 1533-position model. The record is from RNAcentral.